CUGGAUGACUCUGCAAAGGAGUUCCAAACUCUUCCCAGCUCCUCUGACUCUGAAUGGCUGUUUUCCAAGACAAAAGUUAGUUGAAAAGAGAGGUGCUUAAGAUAGGGAUGUAACUUCUAAUAAUAUUAAAGUAUAAAAGAAAAAGAAGCUUGGAGGUGGACUUGACCAUGGGACUAAUUUAUUGGAAACGCGAAAGCAUUUUAGCCUUUCUAAUGCAAGUAGGCAGACUGCAUCAUUGCAAGAGGCGUAUGCUGAAACAACACAAAGU
RNAcentral lists this long non-coding RNA (268 nucleotides) under Numida meleagris (helmeted guineafowl). Its description in RNAcentral is "lncRNA (ENSNMEG00000004060.1)". The record is from RNAcentral. Lineage: Eukaryota; Metazoa; Chordata; Aves; Galliformes; Numididae.